GCAGGGGUGGCGGAACGGCAUACGCGCUAGUUUCAGGCACUAGUUUUUGAGGGUUCAAAUCCCUUCUCCUGCA
This 73-nucleotide transfer RNA is filed under the name Clostridium amylolyticum. It matches the Rfam family "tRNA". From Rfam's summary of the family: Transfer RNA (tRNA) molecules are approximately 80 nucleotides in length. Their secondary structure includes four short double-helical elements and three loops (D, anti-codon, and T loops). The record is from Rfam by way of RNAcentral. Lineage: Bacteria; Bacillati; Bacillota; Clostridia; Eubacteriales; Clostridiaceae.